GGCCUAACCUUAGGGAAGGAUGCUCCGAGGGUGUGGUUAGCGAUUGGGGUGAAGUCGUAACAAGGUAUCCGUACGGGAACGUGCGGAUGGAUCACCUCCUUUCUAAGGAGUAUUCUUGUUGUUCUUAUCUAUUCCGAAUGCGUUCGUAGCUCAGCUGGUUAGAGCACACGCCUGAUAAGCGUGAGGUCGGUGGUUCAAGUCCACUCGAACGCACCAUAUAUGGGGAUAUAGCUCAGUUUGGGAGAGCGACGCACUUGCACUGCGUAGGUCAGCGGUUCGAUCCCGCUUAUCUCCACCAUGUGUUUUUUUUAUGGACCUUGGAAACUGUAUAGUAGAUCAAAAAACAAACAAGAAUAAAGAACAAAGAACUCUAGUUUCUAGAGUUAGCUGUCAAAGAAAAAAACAAGAUUAAAGUAACAAAGGGCACACAAGGGAUGCCUAGGUAGAAAGAGCCGAAGAAGGAGGUGGUAGCUGCGAUAAGCUUGGCGAAGUUGCAAACGAACCUGGAUGCCUGGGCAGUCAGAAUUCG
Molecule: unclassified non-coding RNA, 529 nt
Filed under: Fusobacterium necrophorum subsp. necrophorum
Lineage: Bacteria; Fusobacteriati; Fusobacteriota; Fusobacteriia; Fusobacteriales; Fusobacteriaceae
Description: partial contains 16S ribosomal RNA, intergenic spacer, and 23S ribosomal RNA
Rfam family: Bacterial small subunit ribosomal RNA (bases 1-102)
Source: RNAcentral